RNAcentral lists this ribosomal RNA (424 nucleotides) under uncultured bacterium. RNAcentral describes it as "bacterial SSU rRNA". It matches the Rfam family "Bacterial small subunit ribosomal RNA", at positions 355 to 774 of the family's 1533-position model. The record is from RNAcentral.
UCGAGAAUCUUCGGCAAUGGACGCAAGUCUGACCGAGCGAUGCCGCGUGCGGGAUGAAGGUCUUCGGAUUGUAAACCGCUGUCAGAGGGGAUGAAGUGUACGGGAGUUAUCUCCUGUAUUUGACAGAGCCUCAGAGGAAGCACGGGCUAAGUUCGUGCCAGCAGCCGCGGUAAUACGAACUGUGCGAACGUUAUUCGGAAUCACUGGGCUUAAAGGGUGCGUAGGCGGUUAUCUAAGUCAGGUGUGAAAUCUCUCAGCUCAACUGGGAAACUGCGCUUGAAACUGGAUGACUGGAGUGAUGCAGGGGUGUGUGGAACUUCCGGUGGAGCGGUGAAAUGUGUAGAUAUCGGAAGGAACGCCAGCAGCGAAAGCGGCACACUGGGCAUUUUCUGACGCUGAGGCACGAAAGCUAGGGGAGUGAACG